RNAcentral lists this long non-coding RNA (3092 nucleotides) under Brassica napus (rape). RNAcentral's name for it is "long non-coding RNA (BNAP_LNC005915)". The record is from RNAcentral. Lineage: Eukaryota; Viridiplantae; Streptophyta; Magnoliopsida; Brassicales; Brassicaceae.
GUACUCAAGAUUUUAGUGUGACGGUGUUGGAGCAUUGGGAGUAAUGUGUCAAAAAAAAAAAUAAUUGUAGAAGGGCAUAAUAAACAUUACACACACACAAAUGCAUACAAGACAGAGAUAAUAGAGCGAGGUAAUCAAUCACCAUGUAGCUAAGAGGGGAAGAGAGUUUUCAUAUAAAAUGUCAAAAAUUGAAGAAAGAUUCAAAUAGAGCUGGUGUCAUAAGGUAACCAACCCAACAUGUAAUUACUUGCACUUGGUCCUGCUUCCAUUCCAUGAUUUUGAUGCCCCUGAUACCUGCUACACCGUUACGGAAAGUUUUACUUAAGAUAUGCUAAAAAGAAAAUAUUUUACGUACACACAAACAAGCUAGAGAUAAAAAAUUGAUUAAUCACAUAAAGAGUGAGUUAGUUACCCCAUUUGAAGAAUGGGUUCGCAUUCCAAAGGCUGGAAGAAAGCAUGAUGAGAGUGUUGCUGUUGAUCAUGACGACCAUAGUCAACAUGAUGAUCUUCUUGACUCGGGUUGAGUUGAAGAGGCAUUUGAUAUCCAUCAGCUAACUGUCACGUACAUGUACUUGUUAGCGGAAUAAUUAUUUUUUUUGAACAAAUUAGCGGAUUAAUUAAAUACUUAGUAAUUACCAAAUCAAUAAGCAUUAUUGAAUUAUUGUGAAUGAUUAGGACAUUACCCUUAGCCUGAGAGUUUUAUUUGUCUCAUUUAACAUGCGUUCCUGCUCCAAAUAUUAUAUAAGAGAGUGAGCUAGCUAGUAUUUUUUGUGUAUAUGUCAUUUGUUUCAUCAUUCUAUUCUUUUUUUCCUUUUAUUACCUUACUCUGGAGAUCAUUGAGCUGGUCGAGCAUGAACUGUGUCUGCAAAUUUGAUAUAGGGUCUUGAUUAAUAUAGACUUCAUAGUGGUAUAUGAUGAGAGAAAUGAAAGAAGUAGUACCCGGAGAGCUCUGAUCUGCUUCAAAGAAGAGUCAAGCUGUCUCUCAAGUAACUCAAGCUCCUUUGUACUAAGAGGUCCAAGAUCUUCUCCCAAUAGAUUCCUAUUAUUUCAAGACAGAAGUCAUCACAAAUCCGUAAGGAAAAAACAAACUCUAGCAGUACCUUAAGGAGUUGAUUAGUUGUACCUUUGGGUUCUUUGUAAGGCUUCGUAACGCUCCUUAAGCUUAAGAUACUCCUGUUGGCUACUAAGUUCCUGCUUACCAAGAAGUUACCAUUACUGGAUUUGAAUUAACCAAAGGAAUUCAUGACUUUGUCUAAGCAGAAAAAGGUAAGGAAGAGAAGGAGGGGCCGGUACAACUGCUAAGGCCUCUCUUGAAGGUACAUUGGGCUCUGGAGGUCCAUAGUUGCACUUUUGGUAUCUCUCCAGUGUCCGGAUCAUGCUGCAUCACACCAUUAACUAAUUAGUCAUUUAUCAAAAUCAACUUUUAGAAAGAAUAUCUGGGAGUAAUUUCAGAGAAGAUCUAUCUCAAUUAAGAACCCAGGGAUGAAUCUAUCUGAAGUAAAGAUCCAAUGGAUAAGAUGAAUUUGACAUUGUAAUCCCUAAGGCUUACAAAAACGGGUAGCCCUAGCUAGCUAGCUAGCUACUUGAAUCACCCCCAAAACUUUCUGAAGUUGACUGCAAAAUUGAUGAAUGAUUUGAUUUCAUAAUGUGGCAGAACUCUUUUAGAAGAGAAGAAAAUAUUAAUUAGAAAACCGUAAUUAACUAAUAUCACCACCAGAGAAAUUAACCCUAAUUUCCUAUAAGAUUAUCAAAUGCCUCUUCUGUGAUAAAUCUAAAACUCAAUGUAUCAAAUAAUAUAGAGAAUCUAAAUAUAUAUAUAUAUCAAAGCUAUUUAAUUAAUCUAGUAAAAUGAUCAGAAAUGGGUAUUCAUUUCCUCUUUGCUUUUCUUUUAAAGGAUGAAAGAAAACGUGCGACACAACAACACAUCAGAUGACACUACAACAUAUGUAACUUCUUUUGUUUACUUAUACAAAAAUCAAACCAAUAGAUAAAAAUGGAUAUAUAAACAAUACCUGGAACUACUGCAAAACUCGUACAGUUUUCCUCGAUUAGAGAAGAUGAUGAGAGCAACCUCUGCAUCACAUAGAACCGAAAGCUCGUAUGCUUUCUUCAAAAGGCCAUUUCUUCUCUUUGCAAACGUCACUUGCCUAUUGAUCUUGUUCUCUAUCCUUUUUAAUUUUUUUUUUUUUUUAAAUCAGACAAAAAACUAAAAAAAAAUAAAAUAAUAAGCACCCCAAGUGGGGUGCUAGGUUAAUGGUGCUCUAAGAAUCAGAUACUUCAUUUACUGUAACAUAUAUACUUCUAAAUUCUCUUAGCAGUUAACUCUCUUCUUGUAAUCAAAUUUUUUUUUCUGAUUUUGGUUUGGCUAAGGUCGUCGGUUUACUGAAAUUUUUGGCAAGUUCAUGGAAGAUGAGUCCUCCUUCGGUCUUGCAUAAGAAGUAGCCCAAAUAAUAUCAGGUGUGGGCCUAUAUAUAGAUAAACUAACCAAUGGGUUUCUCCUUGACAGGCAGUUAACAACUUCAUGUUGAUUUGCAUACAUACAAGAGCCUCUGGAUAAGCUAGUGUGAGAUAUACUCUCUGUCCACUGUACAUUAUAGUUCAUUGUUAAAAUAUAUAUUUACACAAAAGUCUUACCCUUACUACAUAACACAAAAAUGGGAAUUAUAAAGAUUUUGGAGCUGGAAGCAUAUACUCUACUUAACACAAAUUUAACUAUAGAAGCCAUAAGGGAAUAUGUAUACAUGUACUCAAGAUUUUAGUGUGACGGUGUUGGAGCAUUGGGAGUAAUGUGUCAAAAAAAAAAAUAAUUGUAGAAGGGCAUAAUAAACAUUACACACACACAAAUGCAUACAAGACAGAGAUAAUAGAGCGAGGUAAUCAAUCACCAUGUAGCUAAGAGGGGAAGAGAGUUUUCAUAUAAAAUGUCAAAAAUUGAAGAAAGAUUCAAAUAGAGCUGGUGUCAUAAGGUAACCAACCCAACAUGUAAUUACUUGCACUUGGUCCUGCUUCCAUUCCAUGAUUUUGAUGCCCCUGAUACCUGCUACACCGUUACGGAAAGUUUUACUUAAGAUAUGCUAAAAAGAAAAUAUUUU